RNAcentral lists this ribosomal RNA (1346 nucleotides) under uncultured organism. Its description in RNAcentral is "16S ribosomal RNA". It matches the Rfam family "Bacterial small subunit ribosomal RNA". The record is from RNAcentral.
CGGCGUGCUUAACACAUGCAAGUCGAGGGUAGCAAUACACUGGCGCAAGGGUGCGUAACGCGUAGAUUAUCUGCCCCAUACACUAACAUAACGCUUGGAAACGGGUGCUAAUAUUAGAUGAGGUGCUUCGGCAUCAAAGUUUCGACGGUAUGGGAUGAGUCUGCGUCUGAUUAGCUAGUUGGUAGUGUAAUGGACUACCAAGGCGACGAUCAGUAGCUGGUCUGAGAGGACGAUCAGCCACACUGGAACUGAGACACGGUCCAGACUCCUACGGGAGGCAGCAGUGAGGAAUUUUGCGCAAUGGACGAAAGUCUGACGCAGCGACGCCGCGUGUGGGAUGAAGGGGCUACGCCCUGUAAACCACUGUUAGAUGUGAAAAAAAGAUGGCUUUGCCGUCCGGGAUUGUAACAUCAAAGAAAGGACCGGCUAACUACGUGCCAGCAGCCGCGGUAAUACGUAGGGUCCGAGCGUUGUCCGGAAUUACUGGGUAUAAAGGGUGCGUAGGCGGGCUUUUACGUCAAGGGUUAAAGACUUCAGCUCAACUGAGGGAGUGCCUUUGAAACGGAAAGUCUUGAAUGUAAGAGAGGUAGGUAGAAUUCCUGGUGUAGCGGUGAAAUGCGUAGAUAUCAGGAGGAAUACCAGUGGCGAAGGCGGCCUACUGGCUUAUUAUUGACGCUGAGGCACGAAAGCGUGGGUAGCGAACAGGAUUAGAUACCCUGGUAGUCCACGCCCUAAACGAUGUAUGCUUGGUGUUAGAGUUUACUCUAGUGCCGUAGGAAAUCCGUUAAGCAUACCUCCUGGGGAGUACGAUCGCAAGGUUGAAACUCAAAGGAAUUGACGGGGGCCCGCACAAGCGGUGGAUCAUGUGGUUUAAUUCGAUGCAACGCGAAGAACCUUACCCGGGCUUGAACUAUACUUGACAGAUGCCGAAAGGUAUCCUCCUUCGGGCAAGUGUAGAGGUGCUGCAUGGCUGUCGUCAGCUCGUGCCGUGAGGUGUUGGGUUAAGUCCCGCAACGAGCGCAACCCCUAUCUUUAGUUGUUAGCAGUUCGGCUGAGCACUCUAGAGAGACUGCCCACGCAAGUGGUGAGGAAGGUGGGGACGACGUCAAGUCAUCAUGGCCCUUAUGUCCGGGGCUACACACGUGAUACAAUGGAUGAGACAGAGGGCGAAACCGCGAGGUCAAGGAAAUCCCUAAACUCAUUGUCAGUUCGGAUUGAAGUCUGCAACUCGACUUCAUGAAGGUGGAAUCGCUAGUAAUCGCAGAUCAGCACGCUGCGGUGAAUACGUUCCCGGGCCUUGUACACACCGCCCGUCAAGCGAUGGAAGCUGGGGGCGCCCGAAGACG